GAUGAACGCUGGCGGCGUGCCUAAUACAUGCAAGUCGAGCGAACAGACGAGGAGCUUGCUCCUCUGACGUUAGCGGCGGACGGGUGAGUAACACGUGGAUAACCUACCUAUAAGACUGGGAUAACUUCGGGAAACCGGAGCUAAUACCGGAUAAUAUAUUGAACCGCAUGGUUCAAUAGUGAAAGACGGUUUUGCUGUCACUUAUAGAUGGAUCCGCGCCGCAUUAGCUAGUUGGUAAGGUAACGGCUUACCGAGGCGACGAUGCGUAGCCGACCUGAGAGGGUGAUCGGCCACACUGGAACUGAGACACGGUCCAGACUCCUACGGGAGGCAGCAGUAGGGAAUCUUCCGCAAUGGGCGAGAGCCUGACGGAGCAACGCCGCGUGAGUGAUGAAGGUCUUCGGAUCGUAAAACUCUGUUAUUAGGGAAGAACAAAUGUGUAAGUAACUAUGCACGUCUUGACGGUACCUAAUCAGAAAGCCACGGCUAACUACGUG
RNAcentral lists this ribosomal RNA (497 nucleotides) under uncultured bacterium. RNAcentral's name for it is "partial 16S ribosomal RNA". It matches the Rfam family "Bacterial small subunit ribosomal RNA", at positions 28 to 507 of the family's 1533-position model. The record is from RNAcentral.